AGAUCUGACUCCUGGGCAGAAGCAAAGAAUUGCAAUAGCUCGUGUUGUUCUGAAGAAUGCACCUAUUCUGUUAUUGGAUGAAGCAAGCUCCUCCAUUGAAUCUGAGUCGAGCCGAGUGAUACAGGAGGCUCUUGAUACUCUAAUCAUGGGGAACAAGACAACUAUUUUAAUUGCCCACCGAGCUGCCAUGAUGAGGCAUGUUGACAACAUAGUUGUACUUAAUGGAGGGAGGAUUGUUGAGGAAGGUACCCACGAUACACUGAUGUCAAAAAAUGGUUUGUAUGUCCGCCUGAUGCAACCUCACUUUGGGAAGGGAUUGCGUCAACAUAGACUUGUUUAAAAACGGAAGCAAUGCAACUGAAGGUACAUCUCAUUUACAGUAACGUCCAAAUCCUUACUGUAAAAUCCCAGCUUCAAACUGGACAGAUCAAAGCAAAGACAGAAUGAUGAGGAUUUCUAACACUUUGUUUGCUGUUGAUUAUCACGUUUGGGCAGUGAAACUUCGUAUGUAAUUAGACUGAUGGCGUUGUUGUUCAAAUUGAUAUCGAGGAUGAUAGGAUGUCAGGACUAGAACCCUAUUCUUUUGGAGGCAGGCCGGUUGUGUAGAUCAGGUUUAUGCUCCGUCUCCUGAUGGUAUAUUGAUUUGUUAAUUAUAGAUUGGAAUGAGUAGCCAUAGCUUUGAUCAGGUCUGUAUUCUUUCUUCCUUUCGGGUUGUGUCUCUGUGUGUGUUGUAGUCAAGUCAAGUGAUGUUCAUUUUUUUCGUGACGAAAAAUCCCCCUCUCCACUUUUCUGCUGUAUAUCUUAUAUGGAAGCCAUAAGAGAUGAUUUCACCAUCAUUUUCUGCCUGUAUAAAUGUGUCACAAAUUUGGUCUUUUGGAGUACACUUAAGUUUUGG
This 895-nucleotide unclassified non-coding RNA is filed under the name Hevea brasiliensis (rubber tree). The record is from RNAcentral. Lineage: Eukaryota; Viridiplantae; Streptophyta; Magnoliopsida; Malpighiales; Euphorbiaceae.